RNAcentral lists this ribosomal RNA (907 nucleotides) under Neophaeocryptopus cytisi. RNAcentral describes it as "SSU rRNA". It matches the Rfam family "Eukaryotic small subunit ribosomal RNA", at positions 174 to 1105 of the family's 1831-position model. The record is from RNAcentral. Lineage: Eukaryota; Fungi; Ascomycota; Dothideomycetes; Dothideales; Dothideaceae.
AUCAUCUAAACCCGAUUUGGAAGGGGUAUUAUAGAUAAAACCACGCCUUCGGGCUCCUUGUGAUCAUAUAACUAACGGAUCGCAUGCCUUCGCCGGCGAUGUUCAUUCAAUUUCUGCCCUAUCAACUUUCGAUGGUAGGAUAGUGGCCUACCAUGGUAUCAACGGGUAACGGGGAAUUAGGGUUCUAUUCCGGAGAGGGAGCCUGAGAAACGGCUACCACAUCCAAGGAAGGCAGCAGGCGCGCAAAUUACCCAAUCCCGACACGGGGAGGUAGUGACAAUAAAUACUGAUACAGGGCUCUUUUGGGUCUUGUAAUUGGAAUGAGUACAAUUUAAAUCCCUUAACGAGGAACAAUUGGAGGGCAAGUCUGGUGCCAGCAGCCGCGGUAAUUCCAGCUCCAAUAGCGUAUAUUAAAGUUGUUGCAGUUAAAAAGCUCGUAGUUGAACCUUGGGUCUGGUUGGCCGGUCCGCCUCACCGCGUGCACUGGUCCGACCGGACCUUUCCUUCUGGGGAGCCGCAUGCCCUUCACUGGGCGUGUUGGGGAACCAGGACUUUUACUUUGAAAAAAUUAGAGUGUUCAAAGCAGGCCUUUGCUCGAAUACAUUAGCAUGGAAUAAUAGAAUAGGACGUGCGGUUCUAUUUUGUUGGUUUCUAGGACCGCCGUAAUGAUUAAUAGGGAUAGUCGGGGGCAUCAGUAUUCAAUUGUCAGAGGUGAAAUUCUUGGAUUUAUUGAAGACUAACUACUGCGAAAGCAUUUGCCAAGGAUGUUUUCAUUAAUCAGUGAACGAAAGUUAGGGGAUCGAAGACGAUCAGAUACCGUCGUAGUCUUAACCAUAAACUAUGCCGACUAGGGAUCGGGCGAUGUUAUCAUUUUGACUCGCUCGGCACCUUACGAGAAAUCAAAGUC